AGGGUUCGAUUCUGGCUCAGGAUGAACGCUGGCGGCGUGCCUAACACAUGCAAGUCGAGCGGAGAUAAGUUGAAGCCUAGCGAUUCUUAUCUUAGCGGCGGAUGGGUGAGUAACACGUGGGUAACCUGCCCUGUACUGGGGAAUAACAGCUGGAAACGGCUGUUAAUGCCGCAUAUGCGCACGGAGCCGCAUGACUCCGGGCGGAAAGAUUUAUCGGUACAGGAUGGGCCCGCGCCGGAUUAACUAGUUGGCGGGGUAACGGCCCACCAAGGUGAUGAUCCGUAGCCGACCUGAGAGGGUGACCGGCCACAUUGGGACUGAGACACGGCCCAAACUCCUACGGGAGGCAGCAGUGGGGGAUAUUGCACAAUGGGGGAAACCCUGAUGCCAGCGACGCCGCGUGAAGGAUGACGUAUUUCGGUAUGUAAACUUCUAUCAGCGGGGAAGAAGAUGACGGUACCCGACUAAGAAGCCCCGGCUAACUACGUGCCAGCAGCAGC
Molecule: ribosomal RNA, 500 nt
Filed under: uncultured bacterium
Lineage: Bacteria
Description: bacterial SSU rRNA
Rfam family: Bacterial small subunit ribosomal RNA
Source: RNAcentral